Drosophila sechellia is the source of this 420-nucleotide long non-coding RNA. RefSeq lists it as uncharacterized. NCBI's taxonomy places the organism in Eukaryota, Metazoa, Arthropoda, Insecta, Diptera, Drosophilidae. The transcript has 2 exons. The record is from RefSeq and is a predicted model, not a curated record.
CAACCAAAGGAGUUCAACAUGAAACUCUUUACAAUCAACUUUUUAAAAUUACUUUUUAUUCUUCUACUAUCAAUCGUUAUUGAACCGGAGGGCGGACCUCAAGAAUGUCCGCGCUUUUCGAUGGAGAUCAAAAAUGUUAAACAAGAAAAAACAAGGACCUACUAUACAAUAAAUAUAUCUUAAACGGCACUUGGAAUCCCAAACUAAUAUAAGUCUUUAAUGUAAAACAUAAUACACAACGUAAGACGUCAUAAAAAUGUUAUAAAACAAGUUCACAUGUUUUAAUUCGAUUUGAAACAAUUAAUAAAUUUUGCUUUAAAGUGGAAAUGUUUUGCAAAUGGAUAUAUUGAUCAACAGAGCAUCUACGAAUAUCUUAUUAAUUGUCGGUUGGACUACUUGAAAUAAAAACUCACGCACUAA